RNAcentral lists this long non-coding RNA (32924 nucleotides) under Podarcis lilfordi (Lilford's wall lizard). Lineage: Eukaryota; Metazoa; Chordata; Lepidosauria; Squamata; Lacertidae. The record is from RNAcentral.
GCUGAGUCCCUUUUUGUUUUGUACAAAGAAAGAAAGAAAGAAAGAAAGAAAGAAAGAAAGAAAGAAAGAAAGAAAGAAAGAAAGAAAGAAAGAUGAGUUUCCCAUUGCUUUUUUUCAUCCUCCUGAGCUGCUCUCCUGGUGAGGAUUUAUCCUUUGUAUAAAACCAAAAUGUUGAGUAGAACACAAAGAGGUUCCCGAUUAUGACACAACUUCUACAUUCUUUUGUAGGUACGUAUUCCACUCUACAGAUAAUUGAGUCUGGUCCAGGACUGGUGAAGCCCGGAGACUCCUUCAAGCUGACCUGUGCAGUUUCUGGGGUUCAAGUUGGUGAUUAUUAUUGGAGUUGGAUCCGGCAGCCUCCAGGGAAGGGUCUGAAAUGGAUGGGGGAGAUUGAGAACACAGAAGAUGGUGCUGGCACCACAUACAGCCCAACAUUUGGAAGUCGAAUCAGCAUCACCAGGGACACCUCCAAAAAUGAAGUAUAUCUUCAGUUGAGGUCCCUGGAAACUGCAGACACAGCAGUAUACUACUGUGCGCUGCACAGUGAGCCAGAGCAAUCAAGCAUCUGUACAAAAACCACAAUCAGUCUCAACCACCUGCUCAGGAACUGCUGGCUAUCUGUCUCCAAUAGAUGGAGCUAACUGUCAAGUUGAUUAAAGCAUUUGUCUUUGUGUAAAUACCAGCAAAAUGCCUUCAUGAUGGCAUGCAACGAAGUCAAAUUCCAUUGAAGUCAUUGAAGACACACAUCCAAUAUAGAUGAAGAACUAUGAAGUCAUGUUCCAUCAGAUGGUUUGAUAGGUCCACUCACCUGAUUCGGUGGGCAGCGUUGCGGCUGGGUCCUGAGCCCCGGGCCCUCCCAGUGAUCUGGCCCAGGGAUGGAGACUGAUGCCUUCCCCACCACUGCUUGUCCACACCAUCAGUGCUGGGCAGGGCCCCGCUCAAGGGGUGCCCCCUGGUGACCAAUCAGCACUGAUGGGGGGCAGGGCCACAGGAAAUUUAAACCAUGGUGUGGCGGGGAGAUUGUCCUCUCACACCCUUCACCAGAUCUCCCAUCCCUUGCCUCUUCUUCUGCUUUGCUGUGCAACGACCUGUCUAUGGGCUAAUGUUGGUCAUCAUAUUUUUGGGAUUUUUUUCUACUUGGCAGAUUGGCUCCAGCAAUUUGGUUUUUGCCUACCUUGAAUCUAUGGUCACAAGUUUGUGAGGUUAGGCAUUGGGUAAGCCUUUGUUUGGAUGGAGGGGAGGUUGUAGCCUCCGCCUGCCCUUCCUCUUUAAGGGUAUCCUGUUAAAGGAACCCGGGGGCGUGGAUUCUGUCCAAUGCAGCCCUCCAGAUGUUUCUGGAUUGCAGUUCCAAUCAGCACCAGCCAGCAUGGCUAGGAAAUGAUGGGGAUUGAAAUCCACCAACAUCUGCCUGGGAUAAAGAGUGUGUCAUGGCUACAGGAACUACCACAAUGACCAGGCAUCCCCAAACUCAGGACUACAACUCCCAUCAUCCCUAGCUAACAGGACCAGUAGUCAGGGAUGAUGGGGAUUGUAGUCCCAAAACAUCUGGAGAGCUGAGUUUGGGGAUGCCUGACAAUGACACCAUUCAAGCCUAAAACUCCAGUAUUCAUCCAGUAGACCAAGGAGAAUUGCAUUCAUUGAUUUAUCAAACCCACCAAUGCUGGGUUGUUGUUUUGUAACAAUGAAAUUUAUAAGAAAUACUUAAAAUUAGAAAGUGACCAGAUGAAAAAUACCAGAAGAGAUCCCAUUGCAUCAGAAGAGAUCCCAUUGCCUUCCCUAGGUUGAUGCUGGGGAGAAAAUAUAGAGCAAUGAGGAACAAUGCUGGGUACCAGAGAGUAACAACAUGUACAGUCCCACAUUCAUAGAUUGCAUAUUGAGAUCACAUACUUAAAUAAAUUCACAUUGUAUUAAUCUAAUUCUUUUGUGAGAAGAAACAUGCCAUAUCCUCUCCAAAUUUCUGAAGAGUGCUCCAUCAAUAUUUGGAGUGGAGGCUUACAUGGUAUCCCUCAUGAUUUCAAUUUCACAGUCAAUGUCUUUUUGUAAAGGAAUACAUCACUGUGGAUCCUGGGAGUAGCAUUGUAACACGCACCCUAGUAAAAUCAUCCAUGCUCACAAAGAAAAGACAAGGAAGCGGUAGCAAUUCACAUGGGGUUGGGCUAGAUGACCCUUGGGGUCCCUUCCAACUCUACAGUCCUAUGAUUCUAUGACAUUAUAAUAUGUUGAUUGUACAUCUGCAAAGCAACUGCUUGUCUGGAAUCAAAGUGGGCCAAGCAAAUGUUUUUCGCUGUCCCGCUUCUUAAAUACACACAUGAACAUUUUUAUUUAGCUACAUGAUUUUCCACAUCUGGAGGGUCAAGUAUUGUACUAAGAGAGAGAGAGAGAGAGAGAGAGAGAGAGAGAGAAUGAACAUUGCUGUCCAACUCUUGGAUGUAAUUUGAAUAAGCAUAUUUACAUCCCAUAUAGGUACUUAUCCCUAACACAUAUCUUAGAGAAUCAGUAGGGAGUUGAAGGAGCAAUAGUUCAGCUCAUACAGAAAAAUCAGUGAGGGUCAGGAAGGCAGCAGGACAGUAAGGACAACUCAGCUCACCUGCUGAUGGCUCUGAAGUUCUCCAGGGGCAAAUUAAUGUGGUUCUCUCUCAAUCCAAAACCUUUUCAAUCAAGGCGAUUCAUAAAAAACACCAAGGUGCAGAUGCCAAAUUGUCUAUUAAAAACAAAACAAAACAACAGUGGUCUUCAAAAUCAGGAGGAAUUCUAGUAUAUUCAGAUGAUCAGCAAUCCAAAUACACUUUCUGUUCAUCUACUUAUCCAUCUUGACAUGAGUUCCUCUUGACUCUGCAGUAUUCUCUUCGCUCUCUGCAUCCAAAUUUAUUCUCAGACAGGAAGCCCAUGUGAUUCCUGUUUCCGCCCAUACUAUUAAAGGAGGAAGCUGGUAAAGACCCAUGAGGAUGAUAGGGCAGAUGGGAUGAGACCAAUUAAAUAUAUAAUUACCAGGAUAACUAUUUAGUAGACGGAGAAACAGGGAGGCACUUUCACCCUAUGAGUUCUUGAAAAUCAGCUCAGUUGGGCCUUGCCAAACAAAAGGAGGCCGAAUGACCAGGGAGAGCUGGAAUUUAUCCUGGCCCUGGGUGUGGAGCCAAGUGCCACCAUUGGGCAGUUGUUCCCACACCCAGAUACACACCCUCACAGCCCCACCAUGAUUGGAGAUGGCAGGCAUAUGAUCCAGCCUGCCAUUUGCUGGUUUACAGGUGAGACCCCAGGGCCCGCCCGCAAUGCUGCCCACUGAAGAAGGCUUGAUAAAUAGAAAUAUGGAGGGGGGGGGAUUCAAUUUGUUUUAGGUGGAAAAGGAACCAUGAGGUGACUUUCCUCUUUGUAUGAUUAGAGCAACAGAAUUUAGGAGCAGCAUCUGAACUAUCUGGGAGAACUCGACUUCUGUCUAUCAGUUUUCACCAUCUGCCUUUGGGUCAUUUUGCUUUGUUAGCUACAUAUAAAUCUUUGUUAUAAAGGUAGGAGGAUUCAGUUCACACCAAAGGCAAAUUUACCAAUUUUGCAUAAUACUACUAGUUUCCUCUGUGGUGCAAAGCUACCGUGGGCCCUCAGACUCUGUUCUGUUGGGAUAUACCAUUCUUCCUGUGAAAGCCACCACCACAGUUUGGCUAGCAACUUGGUUUUCGUCAUGAUAAUUUAAAAAUGACACAGGAGUAUUGCUAAAUCCUUACUGCAAAAUUCUACACACGCCUUGAAGUGAAGACAAUUCAAAGCCCAGCUUAAUCAUAAGCCAUACAAAUGAAUGCAUGCUUACUCCCUCAGUAUGCAUAAUGAACUUCCGUGCUGCAGAAUUUGCAAAAUAAUCCGUAUUUCCGUAUUGCAGAAUUUGCCAUUUUUCUGGUGAACAGGAAGGUGUACAACCUCAUAAGUAAAAUGUACAAGGGGCUCACUGAAGAAGAAGAAGAAGAGGAGGAGGAGGAGGAGGAGGAGGAGGAGGAGGAGGAGGAGUUUGGAUUUGAUAUCCCGCUUUAUCACUAACCUAAGGAGUCUCAAAGUGGCUAACAACCUCCUUUCCCUUCCUCCCCCAAACACUCUGUGAGGUGAGUGAGGCUGAGAGACUUCAGAGAAGUGUGACUGGCCCAAGGUAACCCAGCAGCUGCAUGUGGAGGAGGGGGAAUCAAACCCGGUUCACCAGAUUACGAGUCCACCGCUCUUAACCACUACACCACGCUGGCUCACUUAAGUAUAGUACAUGCAAGACUCAAUCCUAUUGGUGUUUUGUGAGGGGUGUUUAUUAUUUUUAUUAAACUUCAUGAAACAUAUACUUACAGCAUAUAUGUUAAUUACAAAAAAACCAAACCCUUAUACUGACAAUGCUUCCCUUCCCCUCAUCCUCCCUCCAGCACAGCAAAGCACAAAGCAUAUCUAAGGCAUAUCUAAGACGCAUGACUUCCCUCAAAGAAUCUUGGGAACUGUAGUUUGCUGAAAAUUGUAGCUACUAUAGUUCCCAUGAACCUUUGGGGGAAGUGGUAUGUUUUAAAUUAGUGUUGCCUGUGCAGUGGAUGUGGAUCAGCCCUGCGUGAGGUUGGGAGGAGCUGUCCAGCAGCUGAAGAACAGAAGAGAUGAAGGAGGCCAUUCUAAGGCCCAGCAAACUGUAGAGUUGGGUUAGUUGAGUGAUGGUAGACAACUAGGCCCAGGGCUUCCUUGGUAUUGCCUGCAGAGGAGCCAUCAUCAGAAAGAAGAGCACAGUAAAUACCACAAUGCCUUUGGCCAAGUCUGUGUGUUGGCUUUCCUAUUCACAUGCAAAACUUCUGCAACGGAAAGUAUUUAAUUUAUGUAGUCACCUCUUUCUGAAAGAGCAACCAGGGAAGACCAGCUCUUUCCCGCCUAGGGUCAGAUGGGGAGACUUCUGGGGACUUCCGGGGUGGCGCCAUCGGUAAUGGCUGCUUCCCUCUGAUUCGGACGGAACGGCUCUACGGAAAUUGGGUCUGUACCACUACGGCGUAGCGGAGACCCUCCAAAAAUCACAGGCGGGUGAAGCCUGUGACCGUGGGACUCAGCGGGCACCGUUUGCGCCCCCCCAAUUGCAAAAGGAGCUCGGCAACGGGCUCCGGAGCGGAGCGGGGGUGGCGUGGUGCUGUGAGCCAAUUGCUUCUUCCGUGGAGCGAAGCCGCGAAGCUGUUACCGGAGAGCGCUGCCUUUUUCCUGGGACAAUUGGACAUUGAAAACAACUACCCGUGAGUAGGAUUAAAUUGGAUUCAAAAGGGAAAACGUCUAAUUUGGUACUGAACGGGAAGGUACAACCAGGAAGUCUGCCUUCCUUUCAUUGUAAAUAGAUCAAAGCAAAGAGACUCUAAAGCGGAAACAUUGAAAGUUGCUUGAAAAAGAGCUAAAUCUUAACAUUGGGAAAGUGGUCCCCCCUCCGGAUUGCAGAAGAGGAGGGGGAAAUGACUGAGCUGAAUUUACCUGCAAAAAAUAAGAGGGAAAAGGAAGCUAAAAUUUAUUGUUUAAAACCUGGAACGGGCUGCCUUGAGACAAGGGUCGCACAGUGGAAAGUUUAUUUUUGACAGCUAACUCUGCAAAAGGGAUACAGUGUAUCUGGACUUCUCCUGGCUUGAAAGUAACUGUUUAAGUGCACUGAGACUGCUGUUUUUAAAGUAAAUUGGGGGACUUAUAAAGACUAUUUUUGUUCUCAAAAGUUGUAAGUUCUGGCUGUUACUGUGUCCCCCUAGAGGAAGCUGGACACUGUUACAAUAACAACUGGCUUAGAGGAAAAUUCCAUUCUACUCCAAAACAAUUGUCUAACUGUGGGAGCGACCUUGAAUUUCUAUGAGAUGUUAUGGCAGAUGGGAAAGGGAAGAUAGAGUCGCAGGAAAAAAACUACUAGGUCUGGCAGACAUUAUCGGAUAGACACUGCGCAGCCGCGAAGGGGUUCAACAUCUGGAGUAACUGGAACAUCAGGGGCCGUACUCCCACAGGUUAAACCAAAAGUUAUGUCGUCGGAAGAAGUUUUGGCACAGGCACUGGCAAAAAUUAAUGAAUCUUUGGAAAGUUUAAAUAAACAGGUAGCUGAGACAAACAGACAAGUAGCUGAGACAAAUAAACAAGUCGUGGAAGCAUCAAGCAAAAUUGAUUUAAAUACUGCAAGUAUUAAUAUCUUGGGGCAGAAGGUGAAUACCAACACAGAGACCAUCGAAAAAUUACUACAGGAAUCUGCCUCGACUCGAAAGACAGCUGAGGAGGCAAAAGACAUUGCAACUGCUACUCAAGAGAAGAUUCCACCAGUAUAUAAGAAAUUGGAGGACCAUGAUGUGACAUUCUCCAUGAUUGAAUUGAAAGACAGACAAAGAAAUUUAAGAAUCAGGGCCGUACCAGAACGGGAGGAAGAUAACCUGGCCGAUUUUCUUACACAGGAAUUCAUAAAUUUUUGGCAACCGGAUUUGGGGAAGGAAGAAUUUAAGAUAGUGAAUGCAUUUAGACUUGGAAGAAGACAAAGCAAGAAAAAGGUGAGAGACUGUUUGAUUACUUUUCGAACAGUCCGGUGGGACUGGGUACGGAUGAGACCUGGGAAAGGGAUCGAAUGCAUGGGGUACUGGGUUGGGACCACAAUGUAUGCUCCAUCUUUACGCAACCGAAUCACCAUCUCUGUGGAUCCUCCCCGAACCAAGUACUUUCUCAGAUUGAGCUCUGUGACCGCUGCAGACAACGCUGUGUAUUACUGUGCGAGAUACACAGUAGGAGGAACUGAAGCAGAGGCUGGCACAAAAAGGGGGAAGUGGUUAGAAAAUAGAAAGCCACUUCAAGAACCUUGAGGUGAUAUGCAACUCUUUUGGAACAAGAUGGAGAUAGACUGAAACUGCAGAGUUUUGAGAAAUUAAAAACAAAGUGCGAGACUGGCUUCAUUAUUAUCAGAUAAUGGAGGCAUACAAUUUGGAUAAGAAAAUCGGCUUCCAGGUGGAAAAAUCAAAAUUAGAAACAGAACUGUUAGAACCCAAAACUAAGAUUUUGUCAAAGAUGUAUAACUUGCUGUUGAAAUGGAAUACUCAGGAUGAAACCGUGAAAUCUGCUAUGAUUAAAUGGGCACAAGAUGUUGGACAUAACAUAAUGAUGGCUGACUGGGAACAGUUAUGGACCACAGGUAUGAAGUUUACGGCAUGCAAUGCCUUAAGAGAGAAUAUUAUGAAAAUGAUAUACAGGUGGUACAUGACCCCAGUCAAGCUUGCAAAAAUCUAUCAUCUGCCCGAUAAUAAAUGUUGGAAAUGUAAAGAAACUGAAGGUACAUUCUUUCACCUUUGGUGGACGUGCCCAAGGAUUAAGGCUUUCUGGGAGAUGAUCUAUAAUGAAUUGAAAAAGGUAUUUAAUAUACCUUCUUGAAGAAACCAGAGGCCUUUCUCCUGGGCAUAGUCGGCCAAUUGGUGUCAAAGAAGGAUAGAACUUUUUUUAUGUAUGCCACAACAGCAGCAAGAACACUCAUUGCAAAGUAUUGGAAGACAUAAGAUCUACCCACUCUGGAAGAAUGGCAGAUGAAGGUGACUGACUAUAUGGAACUGGCGGAAAUGACUGGCAGAAUCCGAGACCAGGGAGAUGAGUCGGUGGAAGAAGAUUGGAAGAAAUUUAAAGACAGAAAUAUUGUAAAAUUAAUGAAUGUUAGAACGAUGUUGGAUAGAAACUAAGUGGUUUUUAGCUGCAAUACUAUAAGGGAAUAUGAAAAAUGGAUUACUAAUAGGUAAAGAUUUAAUGCUACAAUAUUUUAAGAUUAAAGAUUAGGAUAAACAAAAAGGGGAAGGAUUUGCUGAACCAACAAACUGAAUUGGAAUACAAAAAAGGGAGGCGUGAGGAGGUCCGGGAAACAAGCUAAUGAAAAAUAAGUAAUGGAAAGAUUGAGUUGUUUUUAAUUAUUUUUAUUUUGUAUUUUUCUUUUCUCUAUUUUUAUUUUGUAAUAUUUUGAAAAUCUUAAUAAAUAUCUUUUUUUUAAAAAGAGAACAGAAGAGAAGAAAACAGACAGAGCAUAUGCAAUGCUUCAAUAAACGUGAUCUUCCUCAUAAUGAAAAAAAAAAAAGAUAUGCAACUCAAUGGGGUUUGCUUCUCUGUAGGUACAGUUCCCACUCUGGAAAAAAUAUGGAGUGAAUGGGGAUGAUGAACCCACUUUAAGGCCUGAUGUUGAUAUAUAGCUGUCUCAAUCUAUCAAUGGAGUUUGCUCCUCAGAAGACCUGUCUAGAAUUGCACUAACAAGCUGCUCUUCAGAAUUCAGGGUGGGAUGUUUCUCUCAUUCUAGCAUCAGGCCUGUUAGUCCAUAAUAACAACAGCAGUGCAAUCAGAUGCUGGGACAACCAAAGGAGUUCGGUUGUUAUUACUGAUCAUCUGAGACUGGCCCUCAGCCAAAUCCCCCUUGUCCAAAAGGUGGCAGCAGAUUCACCCACCACCCCGUGUUCCUUCCUACAUAAAACCACAGCCUCUUAAAUCACCAGACUUGCAACCACCUGCAAAGUCCCACAAGAGUGUUUGAUACAAAGAGCCCCAAAGCUAAGAGGGCAGCUGGAUUUCAGAUCUUGCAUGUAACCUCUCUCACAGAAGAACUGAAGUUCUUUAUUGGGGGUGAGGGGGGAAGAGAUAAAUUGGUUCAUUUGACCUUUAUUUUUUUCACGGCUGAGCCAUCCUUUAUGCAUAACUACUCUCCACAGAUAGUUCUGAGGAUGAGUAAUCCCUCUUAGCUGAGCAAGAUAGCCUCAUCAUUCUUUUUGUAUGUGAUAUUGCCCAAUACACAUAUUUCCCUAGUUUAAUACAUUUCACAAAUAAAUGUAUUCUUAUGCACACUUUACCCUCUCCCCCUCCCCAUUCUAGGGAUCUGCAUUUUUGCCUCCUUCCAGAGGCCAUAGCAAAUCACAAGCAAAGAGCAUCAGCAAAAAGACCAGUUGUUUGGACUUUAUGUGGCAGGACCACCUGGUCUGUGCCUUCUCCUUCACCCUCUGGAGGGUGAUUCUAUCAUUUCUGUAUGGUUCCAUCCCACUCCUUGGGGUACAAUAUUCUAUUGAAAUGAGUUAUAUAUUUGAAUUUCUUCCUCCCAACACUCUUAUAGCAACAUGGGAAAGAACAGAUGCUAAAACCGUCUGACUCCAAAUGAUGCUCCUGCUUUAUGGCCUUUCAGAGAGCCUAUUUACCAAUGUGUGCAUUUCUCUGAGUGUUUUACAUUAUGCAAAUUUGCUCACUGCUCCUAAAUUCAAAUAGUUGCGUCCUGAGUCUUUCAUCUUCACUGCAGCUCAGAAGAAGAGCUGACUUAGUUCCAGUGAUUUUUUUUUAAAUGACCUGUUAUUAUUUUUUCACUUCUUAGGAUAAAAAUGGCAUUGCUCUAUGUCCCCCUUUUCCUCCUCAUGCUGCUCCCAGGUAGGUAUCUCCCCAAAUGCUCACUGUCCCUUACACCCAGGAUUAUAGUCCUGAAUCUUAAUUGUAUAAUGUUAACAUGAUCUGUGUACUUUGGAUUAAUGGAGCCAUGGUGUGGCUGCUUACGAAGUAGCUUUUCAAGCCUGGAGGGGGGACCCUGCCUAACUCUGGUUUUCCUUGCUUCUCCCAAUCCCUUCAGGUGUUUUCUCCCAGGUCACAUUGAAGGAAUCUGGACAAGGAACAGUGAGACCAGGAGAGACCCUUGAGCUGACAUGUACGGUCACUGGGCGCUCUGUGACAAGCAGCUAUUGGUGGAUCUGGGUACGACAGAGCCCUGGGAAAGGGCUCGAAUGGAUGGGAGGGUGGACUGCAAGAUCGUACUACGCUGCAUCAUUCCAAAACCGAAUCACCAUCUCUGUGGAUUCUUCCCAAACCAAGUACUUUCUGAGACUGAGCUCUGUGACAGCUGCAGACACAGCCAUGUAUUACUGUGCAACAGGCACAGUGGGACAGACUGAAGCAGAGGCCUGUACAAAAAGGAGGAAGUGUUUCCUUCUGAUACUUCUUGAGUAACACUUUGCUGAGAAAAACAGAUCCUGCUUCAUCCCAGACAAAAUAUGUACAUUCUCCCUUAACAUGGCCUUGAACAUCGCUGUCUGACAUCUGGCCUGAUGAUGGCCUAGCCAUGCAAACUGUUAGCCAUCACUGCCUCUUGAGGGAGUGAAUUCAGUGUUGCUAUCAAACGACGGAAUGGUGACUGCCCACACUUGUGACUCAAUACGGGGGUCUCCAAGAGGAGCAGGGGGGAAAGCAGAAGAUCUGCAAUGAAGACACAGCCUCCAACAUUUCUCAGAUGGAAACAUCUUAUUCUACGUCAGGAAACUUCUCCUUGACACUUGGUGACGUUAUCAUUCAAAAUGGACUUUGCAUGGCAGCUUCACCAUUUCCUUCAUUUGGUCCAGGGAUUUUAUUUUCCAUCUAAGCAGGACUCUUUUUUUGCACCUACAUAAACAUACCACAUUUAAUUGUUCUCCGAAACAUUUAGGGGAGGAAAAAAGGGAAAGCGGGACACUCUGGGAUGAAAUCAGAAACCAGGAUGGCACCUGUAAUUUCAGGACUGUCCCUGGAAAACUGGGACACUUGGAGGAUAUGAUGAGGUGCGACAGUCAGUCAUUCUCCUUUCAGGACUUGGGAGCCCUCUCCUGGGGAGAAAUAAAUUUCUAACUCGUACACUAACAUACAUACUAGAUGCAAGCCUCACAGCUCCAUGUUUUGGUUCUUUUUUAUUAUUAUUAUUAUUUUACAAACGUCCACACUUCUGCUUAUCUAAAGAAUCUCCCAAGUACAUACAGGCCAAUACCUUAUUUUUGGAUUGCCCUAUUUCUCCUUCAGGAUGACAGGGCUCACCGCCGCCUGAGUUUGCUACUAUAAAGGGAAAGGUACCCCUGCCUGUACGGGCCAGUCUUGACAGACUCUAGGGUUGUGCGCUCAUCUCACUCUAGAGGCUGGGAGCCAGCGCUGUCCACAGACACUUCCGGGUCACGUGGCCAGCAUGACAAAGCUGCUCCGGCGAACCGGCACCAGCGCAGCACAGAAUGAUAAAUAAAGACACUUCUCCCUUUUAUCAGAGCAAACUCAGUUUCAGGUAUCACCACUCCAAAGAAUCCUACAUCAUACAGGAGAUGUAGAACCAUAUUUUUUUUUUCCUUUACCCUCAGAGUCUACUCCUUUCAGAUAGCUUAAUAAAUUACUUUGAAUCUAAUGGCAUAUUAAUUUGCUGACAAUUCUGUCGACCAUUUUACAUCAAUAAGUGUCAAUCCGUAGUAGUUAAAGGGACUGUUUUACAGGAAGCAACUAUGAGAUCUGAGAAUUUCAGACUUUUGCUUAACUUCAAUGUGUGGUUUUCUAAAUGCCUACGUUGUUUUUAUGCUGCUUUAGUUCUAUCAGAGUUUGAUGACUUUUUAUGUAUUAUCUUUUAUAUAAGUUUUUAGCUUUUUGCAUUUUAUUUGCUUUGUUUUGUUCUGUGGAAGCUGCUUUGAGUUUUUAGCUCUUUGUAUUUUAUUUUAUUUUUUUUGUUUUGUUUUGUUUUGUUUAGUGGAAGCUGCUUUGAGUCCCAGUCUGGGGGAAUGGAAGGAUAUAAAUAUCACUACUAAUACUAAUACUUUAUGGUUUAUUCAUCUGGCAACCUUGUCAACUGCUCCUCCUUUUAGCUUCUGAUCCUUAAAUGCAGAACAGAAUUGGAUGGACUUCCCAUUAUGCAAAUAUGCCAAGCACACUCCUCCUUUUUAAAGAGUGCCAUUCAAUGAUGCUUGAUGACCUGACUGAGACUCAUACACCCUGUUUCUAAUAAACAAAGGACUGAGUGAUUAAGGGGGGGAAAUAUGAGAUCUUUGUCAAUUUUGCUCAUUCUCCUAAGCAUCUCACCUGGUGAGCAUUUAUGCUUAGUGUAAAAACAAAAAUCUUGAAUUCAACCCAAACUGAAGUCGCAUGAGAAGUCUAACAUCUGCCCUUUCUGUUUUGCAGGCAUCCUUUCCAGUCCACAGUUAAUCGAGUCUGGCCCAGGAGUGGUGAAGCCAGGAGAGUCCUUCAAACUGACCUGCACUAUCUCUGGUUUCCAAGUCAGUGAUUAUUACUGGGUCUGGAACCGACAGCCUCCAGGGAAAGGCCUGGAGUUUAUUGGUGGUAUUCGGAGCUCUGCAGCUGGAGGAACCACCUAUUAUAUAUUUUUUUUUAAAGAAUAUUUAUUCCAGUUUUAAAAUUACAGCAAAAGAUAAAAAACAGAACAAAUAGAUGAAAGGAAAAAAAAAGACAAAAACACAUCUAAGAAAAUAAAAUAAAACAUAUUACAGAAAACAGAAAAAUACAAUACCAUAAAAUGUAACAAAAAUCAAAUUUAGACCUUUAUAACCUUUUUCCCUUUUACUUAUUUCCGUGACUUCCUCUCACCUCCCCACUUUAUGUUCUAGUUUGGAUCGUAUUUCCAGCAAAUCCUUCUAACCUUCUUUUCCUUUACUUAUUUUAAGAUUUCUUAAUAAAUUUAAUCCUCCUCUAUCUUCAAUUUCUACACUUUGUUUUUACUUUGUCCAAUGUCCCAUUAUAUCUUUAUCUGCUAAAACGACCUAAAAUUCCUUCCAACCUCUUUCUAACAUUCUUUUAUAUUGCAAAAUUUUUGAAGAUAUAUUUUAAAUUUUUUCCAGUCUUCUUCCAUCGACCCUUCUUCCUGGUCUCGGAUUCUGCCGGUCAUCUCAGCCAGUUCCAUGUAGUCCAUCACUUUCAUCUGCCAUUCUUCUCGAGUAGGCAAUUCUUGCGUCUUCCAGUAUUUCCCAAUGAGUAUUCUUGCUGCUGCUGUCGCAUACAUAAAAAAAUUCCUAUCUUCCCUUCGCACCAAUUGGCCGACCAUGCCUAAGAGAAAGGCCUCUGGUUUCUUCAAGAAAGUAUAUUUCAAUACCUUUUUUAAUUCAUUAUAAAUCAUUUCCCAGAAGGCCUUAAUCUUUGGGCACGUCCACCAAAGGUGAAAAAAAGUACCUUCAUUUUCUUUACAUUUCCAACAUUUAUUAUCAGGCAGAUGAUAAAUUUUUGCUAGCUUGACUGGGGUUAAGUACCACCUGUAAAUCAUUUUCAUUAUAUUUUCUCUUAAGGCAUUACAAGCUGUAAAUUUCAUACCUGUGGUCCAUAACCUUUCCCAGUCAGCAAACAUAAUAUUAUACCCAACAUCUUGUGCCCAUUUAAUCAUAGCUGAUUUAACCAUUUCAUCCUGUGUAUUCCAUUUCAACAGCAGAUUAUACAUUCUUGACAAAUUCUUAGUUUUAGGUUCUAGCAAUUCCGUUUCCAGUUUAGAUUUUUCCACCUGGAAACCAUUCUUUUUAUCUAGAUUAAAAGCCUCCCUUAUUUGGAAAUAGUGAAGCCAGUCUCGAACUUUAGUUUUUAAUUUGUCAAAACUCUGCAAUUUUAUUUUGUCUCCAACUUGUUCUAAAAUUUCAUAAUACUUUGGCCAAUUUGUCUCCAUAUUAGUUUUUUUCAACGCCUUGGCCUCCAUUGGUGACAGCCACCUUGGUGUUUUAUUUUCCAGCAAAUCCUUAUAUCUCACCCAAACAUUAAACAGAGCUUUCCUGACAAUAUGAUUCUUGAAGGCCUUAUGCGCUUUAACCUUGUCAUACCAUAGAUAUGCAUGCCAUCCAAACACAUUGUCAAAACCUUCUAGAUCUAGAAUGUCCGCAUUCUCAAGAAGUAGCCAAUCUUUCAGCCAGCAAAAUGCCGCUGAUUCAUAAUAAAGUUUAAGAUCUGGCAGAGCAAAUCCCCCUCUUUCCUUCGCAUCUGUUAAUAUCUUAAAUUUUAUUCUAGGCUUUUUACCCUGCCAGAUAAAUUUAGAAAUGUCUCUUUGCCACCUCUUGAAGCAGUCCAUUUUAUCCACAAUUUGCAAUGUUUGAAACAAAAACAGCCUUCUAGGCAAUACAUUCAUCUUUAUCACAGCAAUUCGGCCCAACAAUGAUAACUUCAGUUUUGACCAUAUUUCUAAAUCCUUCUUUACUUCUGACCAACAUUUUUCAUAAUUGUCUUUAAACAAAUUCACAUUUUUAGCAGUCAUAUGUACCCCUAGAUAUUUCACUUUGUUAACCACUGUUAAUCCUGUCUCCUUCUGUAACCUCUCUUCCUCCAUCUCUGUAAGAUUUUUCUCUAGUACCUUAGUUUUCGUCUUAUUCAAUUUAAAACCUGCCACUUGACCAAACUCUUGAAUUAAUUGCAAUACUCUUUUUGUACUGGAUUCUGGCUCCUGUAAUGUCAAAACUAAAUCAUCAGCAAAAGCUUUCAGUUUAUACUGUUUUGCUCCGAGUUGUAUGCCUUUAACCAAUUGGUCUUUUCUAAUCAUGUUGAGCAAAACCUCCAGAACCGAUAUAAAAAGUAAAGGGGAGAUUGGGCAACCCUGUCUUGUUCCUUUCUCUAUCUUAAUUUCUUCUGUAACCACAUUAUUCACAAUGAGCUUAGCUCUUUGUUCCGAAUAAAUUGCACUUAUACCAUUUUCAAAGCUUUGGCCUACCCCCAUACCCUGCAAAUUUUUCUUCAUAAAGUUCCAAAAGAUAUUAUCAAAGGCUUUCUCUGCAUCUACAAAUAUUAAAACCGCUUUGGUAUUAAUAUUAACUUGCAAUUUUUCUAGAAUAUUAAUAAUAUUCCUCGUAUUGUCUGACAGAUGUCUCCCCGGGAGAAAGCCCGCCUGGUCUUUAUGGAUUACUUUCACCAGUACAUUUUUUAAUCUUUUAGCCAUAAUUUCCGCAAAAAUUUUGUAAUCCACAUUAAGUAAGGAUAUGGGACGGUAAUUCUUAAACUGUGUCUUUUCCACUUCAGAUUUUGGUAUAAGUGUAAUAUAUGCAUCUUUCCACGACUCGGGUGCUUUUCCUCCCCGUAGUAUUUCAUUGCAGACUUCUUUCAGCGGUUGUAAUAACCAUUCUUUCAAAGAUUUAUAGUAUUUUGCAGUUAGACCAUCCGGUCCUGGAGAUUUGCCCAGUUUCAUGUUCUGAAUGGCUCCUUCUACCUCUUGAUCAGAUAUUGUAGAAUUUAAUAUUGAUUUACUCUCUUGAGAUACUUUUUGUAAUCCAUUAAUUUUCAGAAACCGAUCAAUAUCAUAUUCUUUCUGGGUCUCCUGCGUAUAUAGUUGUUUAAAAUAGUUCUGAAAGCACUUCCGAAUCUCUCCAGGAUUCUGUAUAUUCUUCCCUUCUACUACCAAGUUCGUAAUUGUAUUCAGCUUUUGUCUCUUUUUCAUUUGCCACGCCAGUAAUUUCCCACAUUUAUUAGCCGAUUCGAAGGUUUUUUGUUUCAUCUGUUUGAUCUUCCAUUCUAUCUCCUGAUUCAUCAAUUUCAUAUAUUGUACUUGGUAUAACUUUAUCUCUUUCAAAAUCUCCUGUGAGUUCGGUUUCGCCCUUAAUCUUUUUUCUCCUUCCUUAAUUUUCUCCAGAAUUUUUUCUCUCUUGUCAUUUUGAUGUCUUUUCCUAAUUGCAUUCUGUUGUAUCAAAAAUCCUCUCAUCACCGCUUUGCUGGCAUCCCAAAUCACUCUCUUUUCAGUCAUGGUAUUCAUAUUUAUCUCAAAAUAGUCUCUCAAGUUUUUCUGGGCCUUUUGGAUAAUCUCCUCAUUUCUAAACAGGGAGUCAUUCAUCCUCCAUCUAAAAGCUUCAAUUGGCAUUAAUAUCAUUUCAAUCUUUACUGGAUUAUGGUCAGAGCAAAUUUUCGGGCAAAUCACCGCUUUUUUUAUCUUAGGGGCCAGUCCUCUAGUUAUCCAGAUUUGGUCUAUUCUUGUCCAAGUCAUUUUUGCUUCAGAAAAGAAGGUUCCUUCUCUUUCCAAGGGGUUCUUUAUUCUCCAGAUAUCCACAAGAUCCAUAUUGUCAGUCAUUUCAAAAAAAGUCUUUGGAAGUCUUCCAUCUUUCGUCACCGUUUGUCUUUGGGCUUUGUCCAUAUUUGUAGACACUACUCCAUUCAUAUCUCCCAUCAUAAUAAUGUUAUAAUCCAAAUAAUCCAAAAGGGUUUCAUGCAAUUUUUUGAAGAAUUCUGAUUUUCCCUCAUUUGGUGCAUAUACACCAACAAUCAAAAAUUUCUGUCCUUGGAACUGAAUUUCAAUUGCUAUAUAUCUUCCUUGAUCAUCUUUAAAUAUAAAUUUUGGUGACAGGCUUUCCUUUGCAUAAAAUACUACUCCUCUUUUUUUAACAUUGUCCGAUGAUAUAAAUUCUUCUCCCAAUCUUUUAUUUAUCAAAAUUUUCCGAUGCAGCCUUGUCACAUGGGUCUCUUGUAAACAAAUCAAGUCCAAAUGUUCUUUUUUCAAUGUAUGAAAUACUCUUCCCCUUUUAGCCGACGAGUUAAGACCUCUAAUGUUCCAACUUAAAGCUUGUAGUGUCAUUUUGUACUUACUCUCCUUCUCCUCCAACAGCCCCAAGAAGUUUGUCUAUAUCUGCCGGUGGCGUUGGUUUCACUUUUUUUUGCAGACUCUUCUCCAGUGCUUCAGUAUCUUUUCCCAGUCCUUUCUGUAGAUCUUCUUCAAAGGCACUCAAGAACUUAUUCUUCUCUUCCACAGAUUUUAUCUUAAUCUUUUUUCCCUUAAAACUGAAAGAUAGGCCUUGAGGAAAUUCCCACCUGAAAAGGAUCUUAUUUUUUCUCAACAAGGCCACCAAAUCUCCAAAAUCUUGUCUUAGGUCCAAAAGAUGUUUCGGUAUAUCUUUAAAAAUUUCUACCUUUGAUUGUAGAAUUGUCAAAGGUUUCUCAUAGUGCAGGCCCAAAAUUUUGUCCCUCUCUUCCUUAGAUCUGAAGGUAAUCAAACAGUCCCUUAUUUUAAUCUUUCUUCCUCCUUUUCCCAGUCUAAAGGCCCUCACAAUCUUGAACUCCUCUUGUUUCAAAUCCUUCCAAAAUUCCACAAAUUCUUGUGUCAGAAAGUCUGUCAAGGUGCCUUUCUCAAGUUCAGGAACAGCUCUAAUUCUUAGAUUGGCUUGUUUGUCUUCAAGAUCAAUCAUGGACAGCGUCAGCUUAUGUUCAGCAAUCUCUUUCUGUAGAUCUGGUACCUUCUCAGUUUCCAAUUGCCCCAAUUUAAAUUCCACAGCUGCAGUCUUUUCCUGUAUGGACUUUGAGUCCUGCAGUAAUCUCUGAAUAGAUUCUGUGUUGCUGUUUACCUUUUUCUCCAAGUUGCCUAGUGUUUCUGUAUUUAAAUCUAUUUUUUUAUUUGCAAUGUCGACUUUCUGAUUUGAUUCUUCCACUUUCUUAUUUAUAUCGUCCACCUUCGUACUAAGUUGUUGUAUAGAUUCAUUAAUCUUAGCCAAAGCGUUAGCUAAGAUUUCCUCAGACAUUCCACUAGACUUAGAUUGUGUUGCUGAUGCGGGCAAGCCAGCCGAUGAUUGCCUUCGAUGCCCCCACUGUUUCCCAGAUCUCAAAACUGACGGGUCUGAUUUCUGGCCAUCUGCCAUAACAAUAUGAAGGUCAAAUUCUUUUCCCAAGUGAGCUUUUCCUGUUUACCAGUGGAAAAUUCCUUUACUAUACUUUACUGCACUGUCAAAUAGUCCCACUAGGUGGACACUGUUACCACCAAAUCAGUUACUUUUCUUCUUGAGUGAUGAGAAAGAGAAACUAAAUAAACAGAAAGGGGUAAUCCACAAAGUAUCUUUUCCAGUUGUUUUCCCCAGCGAGAUUGGCCACAAUAUAUCCUUAUUUCAGCCGAUGUAUAACACUGUCAAAACACUGUCAAAAUUUGACAGCUAGGACUUCUCACUGUCAAAUUGCUCUUUAAGUCUUUAAGCAGUCCGAGAGAAAUAAAACAAAAACUUUCACCUUUCCCUCCGAAGGGUGGAUUCAAUCAAAGUUCUCAGGUCAGAAGAAACACUUUUAAACAUCGAAUUUCCCACGUUUAGCUCCAAAUCUCUAUGCUUUACUCUGUUCACAAAGCGGGGAAGCGGACUUCCUGUUUAGACUUCCCACCGCGGUAGCCAAUUUUAACGUUAUUUAUUUCAUACAGCCUUUCACUUUUAGAAGUUCCAGUCCAAUUAAAGCUCCUUCUUUUUAGUUCAAUUUCACUACUCACGAUUAAGUUUCAGUCCAAUUGUUCCAGGAAUAAGUCAGCGCUCUCCAGCAACGGCAACACGGCUUCGCUCCGUGAAAGCAGCAGUCCACUCACAGCACCGCGCUUCUCCUCCGCUCCGCUCCGAAGCCUAAAAAAAAAAGGCUUCCUCGCGAGUUGGGGGGGCGCUCCAAGGUGCCCGCUGAGUCUCCACGUUCGCAGGCUUCAGCGCCUGCGAUUUCUAAGGGUCCCCGCUUCGCCGUAGCGCACAGGACCCACUUUUCACGUCGCAAUCCCUCCGCAGUUCAGAGGAGAUCAGCCAUUGCUGCUGGCGCUGACCGGAAGUCUCGGAACCACCUAUUAUAACCCAGCAUUCAGUAGUCGGAUUUCUGUCACCAGGGACACCUCCAGAAAUGAAGUGUAUCUUCAGCUGAAUUCCCCGACAGCUGCAGACACCGCUGUGUAUUUUUGUGCACGAGACACAGUGAAGUAAAGCAAUGAAGCGUCCAUCCAUAAACCUAAACAAUAUAUCCCAUCACUGUGGCAGGCAAAGAGGGUUAAUGGAGGACACAAUCAUUGUCCCAUAGAGUCCCACAAAAGCCAUUGAAAACUUGCUUAUUCUCAGGUUUCAUUACUCAGGUAUGGUUCAAAUUCGCAUACAGGGAGAGAAGAGGAAAUGGCUAUUAUGAGAGAAGUGUUGCACUCAGCCUCAUUCUCCAAUCAGAAAUUGUGAGUCCUUCUACUGUCUGGGGUGGGAAGGCAGUUCUUUGACAAACACACAGGCUGACAAACUGCUUUGCAUCACUGGUACCAGUGAACGGUUGUGCAGAGUAAAGGGCUUCCAUAACGGGUUGCAGAGUGACCAUAAGGGAUGGAACCUCUAGUGUGUACUACUCAGAGAGAGGGAAUCAUUAAGGCAGAGUUGGGAGGGAAAUGGUGCUCUCCCAGCUGGGUACCAGCUCAAUCCAGUACCUCUGAACUUCCCAGAUCUGAUGGGCUAUCAAUUCUCUUAGUUAUUGGGACUGCUAUGUUUGGGUUCCAACAAAGGAUGCCAUACCUACGUUGUCUCUCUCUCUUCCCAAAUACAGAAACACAUUUACCUUUGAAUGCUUUGAAGUCUUGCCUUCUUGGUUUUUGGAGGCAAUUAUACCAGAGUCCCAUUAAGGCAGGGGUGGUGAACCUCAGACCCAGGAGCUAAAUGUGGCCCUCCAUGCCUCUCUAGGUGGCCCUCAGGACUCACCACAGCUACUCCGCUCACCAGUCUCUCUUCCGACCCUUCUUGAGUAGAAAAGGGAAAUACAAAAUUGAGCCUCCCAAGGCUCAUUUAGAAACCUGAUAGGCUUGUGCUUACUGUGAAAGUGGAAGAAAAAAUGUGAUUACUCUGAACAAUUGGAUCCUUUUAUUCAGCUCAAAGUAUUGUGCAUCCAGAUGUAGACCAGUAAGUGGCAGCAUUUCAUGGGAACAGAGAGCUAUAUCCUGCAGAUGGGGAUGAGGUAGAAGUGUGGUUCAGUUUGUAUUUUGAUUCAAAUCAACAUUAUUUGCACUUCUUGAAACAGGAUGCAAUCUGAGACACAGCAACCCUUUGAAAUUUGCAUUUCUCCCAAUUUUGCAAUGCAGUUCUCCAAUUUUUAAAAAAGGGCAUGGAACUCCAUAUAUCUGGAAAAAGUGUGUAUGAAAUGCAAAUGUUGGUAAAGAUGACAUACAGCAAUGAAUUGUGUCAGGGAGAUUUCACGCGAAACAUGCACAUGAUUUUUUGUAAACACACACAAACACACGUAUAUCAGACUGAUGCAGAAAUGAGGAAAAUGGAACUUGAGUUUGGAACAAAUGAGUAAUGGAGGUGACUGAAUCGAGCAGAUUUACCCUCCUGUUACUGAUGGCAAGGUCUGCUUUGAAAUUGUGAGGACUUUCUGCUUAUCCUCUUCAAACUAUCAUCACCAUUAAAGCCAUUUUUAAAUUAAAUUAAAUUAAAAACAGUUAAAACCAAUUACAAGCACAAUCGCAGGUAUAAGGUGGGCCCUGAAAACCCUCAUAUCUGGUGUCAAAGGCCAGAGAAAAUAGGUCCGCCUUCAACAUUUGCCAAAAGCUAAAUGGAGAAGAAGGCAGAAGCACCUCUAUUGGGAGGGAAUUCCAUAACUUAGGGGCUGCCAUAGAGACUGCAUUCUCCAGGGAAGUGAGGGACCCCUUUGCUGAUAGUCCUAUAUCCUGUUCUCACAAUGGCCAACAAUAUGCCUAUGGAAAGCCCACAAGCAGGAUUUGAGCACAAGAACAAACACACACGCACACCCGACUUCUGAUUUCCAGGAACUAGUGUUGAGAGGCAUACCACCUCUUCGACUGUGAGCACCUUGAUUUGGACUCAGAAGCAAACAGGCAGUCAGCUUCCCAAGCAUAUCUCUAUAUUAUACGCCUUCCCUGCAAAUCAACCAAGCAGUCUCCUCCAGAGGGGCAUUUCCAAAGAGGCAGCCCAAUAUUGUUGUAUUUGGGGCACCAUUCUGAAACCUUCUUGUUUGUACAGCUGUUUCAGAAACUGUCUUUCUAUUUCCAUCUGCUUCAUGUUAAGGAUGUUUUGCACAUUGUAUUAUUAAUUGGAUUUUGUAUUUUAAUGAUGGCCAAACGGCCCUGCAAUCAAUAAAAUAUUUUAACCCACUAACAAAUAUACAUUUUCCCACACCUUCAGAACAUCACACCCACAGCCCGAUAACUUUAAACCCCAGCUUUAAAAUUGUGUUGUUGCCAUCUAAGAAGCAAAGCCUCCUUUUAUCCUCCUUGUUUCAUACACUCUGCUCACUUUAAACAAAUCUGCCGGGCGGGUUCCUCCUCUUUAAAUACAGCCCUUCAGUCUUGCUCCACAGCCUUCCAUUCAUUCAGAAAGAGAGAGGACUGAGUGAGUGAGUGAGUGAGUGAGAAGAGAAAGAAAUGAGAUCUCUGAUGUUUCUUCUCCUUUUACUGAGUAUCUGCCCAGGUGAGGAUUUUAUACUGGAUCAAUUACACAUAGGACAAAAUUGGGUCCAAACACUUGGAGCCUAAGAUGAAUUGUCCUGGGACAAUUUGGCAUCUAAAAUAAUCACCCGUGAGUACUUAAACAUUGAAGAGCUGAAUUUUUAAUAAGGACUGGCGAUUAGUAACAAAUUGGACUUGAAAUUUAAUCUAAUUUGGAACUGGAACGGGAAGGUCUAAACAGGAAGUCAGCCUUCCGUUUUCUUGUAAUCAUAAGAAAGCAAAGACAAAGUACACUAGAGCCUAAAAAAAUAUUUUUAGAGGAUUGGUUUUCACCAUUUAAGAUUGUUGAAUCCCCCUUUGGUUGCAGGAGAAGAAGGGGGUUUUCUUUUGGACUGUUUAAACCUGCGGAAGUGAGCUUAAAAGUAAAGUAAUUUUCCACCGUCCUGACCCUGGAGCGGGGUGUCAGAACUGACGUUUUGAAGCUCAUUGACCAGAGACAAAGGUUUUUGACAGAUAGUUAAAAGAAGAGUAACAUUGUGAUUCCAUUGUUGCCUUUCGCAUUUUAAAGGGACAAAUUUUGACAAAAUAUCUUUUUUUGGGGGGGAAAGAAACUUUGUUGCUAUUGCUCUUAAAAGAAAGAAUAACCAGAAGUUUUCCCCCUAGUGGGACUUGGUGAAAUUGUAACAAGAGAGCUUGCAGCUGCCAGGAUUAUCAUUGUGGGAAAGGAUUCGUGACCUUGUAGGACAAUGUUUUCAGAAGCAUUGUCGGAUGCUUUUUUAAAAAUAAAUGCCCUAUUGGAUCAGUUAAGUCAAAAGACAGAUCUGAUGACAGAAGCGGCCAGAACACUUGAACAGGUAACUGGAAAUUAUAUGGAGUCCACUCAGGACUUUAAACAGAAGGGUGUUCUGACAGAACAGAUGAAAGAAGAAGAUGCUGCAGAGUUUUGGGUGCCAGAGAUGGAGGGACUUUUGGUCCAGCAGGAAAAUGAGCCUUUGGAGUUGACAAAUGAACUUGGGAAAAACCAGAUUUGGAAAGAUAAAGUUUGGGCAGCUUUGGAAAUGGGGGGCUGGAUUGACCCCCCUAUGCAUGGAUAUUUGGACUUUCCGAGUCUGGUAAUCGGCCGUCAGAGGUUUGGAGUUGUCGGGGCCUCCAAUUUUGGAGGGAACAUGAAGAAAAACCAUGUGGAGUCUAGCUUGGACUAUGGGAAAGGGGCUGUUUUGCUGAAAAGGGUCAAGAGUAUCAUCCAACUGGAGUACCCACGAGUGAAAGGAAAAUAUCAAGAAGAGCUGCGGAAGGGACAUGGAAGAGAUUUGAGGGCCUCGGACAUAAGACUACCAGGCUAAUGAGCCAGACUAAUGAGAUAAAAAGGACUGACAAUCCCGGGACCGGGGGGAGGGGACGCUGGAAGAUGAUUGGAUUGUUUUGACUUUUCCUUUUCUCUUUCUAAUAUUAGGAAUGUUUAGGAACGUUGAAAAAAUGUUGAAAUGAAACUAUAUGGCUUUUGUAAAAAAUGGUAAAAGAUAUGCAAAAAGGUAAUGGUUAUGAGAGGUUGGUAAAUGUAGGAUUUAAGUUUUAGGUUUUAAGGUUUUUAUAAGAUAAGAUGAAAAUUGAGUAAAGUAAUGUAAUGACAGAAUAUUACGAAACAAUGGAAGGGAUUUGGUGUAAAAAUUAUUAAUCAAGAUACAAGAGAUGGGAGGAGGAGGAGGUCAUGAAAAAAGGUAAUGAAAGUCGAGAUUUUGAAAAUGAUGAUUUUAUUUUUUUCCCCUUUGUUGUUGUCUUUUUGUCUUUUUGGAUUUUUGUAUUUUUUAUUUGUGUUCUUUCUGUUUUCUGUUUUUGUCUUUUUAUUGUGUAAAAAUUCUUUUCUCAAUAAAUAUUAUUGGGGGGGGGGGAAGAUGAACUAACUUCAGGACAAUUCAUGGUGACAUUGAAUUUCUUUCACCAACAAAAAAUAAGCCAUCCCUAGAGUAUUGGGGAUGGGAGGAUGGACAAUGGGUGAUAUAAUGCAAGGGAGUUUGGGGGGGGGGGAAUUGCCCAAUAUCUGGCAAGGAUCCAUCUUUCAGCAGACCGCAAUGCCCAGUCCAACGUUGAGCAAAAGGCUUCCCUUCCAAUGAUGCAUUUCAGAGAUCAAGAAGGGAGAAGAGAUUGGAGGACUUCCCUUCCCUAAACUUUAUUAACUGAUGUCUUAGGAUGCAAUCCUAUGAAGCCACCCCAGAGAGACUCCACGGAGUGGUACUAAUUUCUCUCGCUUUGUUCAGGUGUCUUCUGCAGUGUGCAUCUGACCCAGUCUGGCCUGGGAGCAGUGAAGCCUGGACAGCCCCUCCAGCUGACCUGCACUGUCUCCGGUGCUGAAGUGAGUGGCUGGUACUGGGGCUGGAACCGACAGACUCCAGGGAAAAGUCUGGAGUGGUUGGGCAGCAUUGAGAGUGUGGCCGCAGGAGGAAACGGAUACUACAGUUCCAGGUUUAGCUCCAGAAUCAGUAUCACCAGGGAUGCCUCCAAAAAUGAAUUCUAUCUUCUGUUGAGAUCCCUCACAGCUGCAGACAAUGCUGUGUAUUACUGUGCAAGGGACAGAGCAGCACUCUGAGGCAAGGCAAUGGAGGAUCCAGACACAAACUGUGCAGAGUCAUUCAGCCUCCUACGCAGAUUCAUUAUUUUAUGCUUGAUUGCUCACCGUAAAACAUUUCUGCUCCACUCUUCUUCAAAUGCAGAACAAAACAAUUUUGGGAAGGGCAGUAGCUCUGGUUUUCUGGUCUGUAACCUGAAGCAUAUGUAACAUGAGGUACCACUGUAUAUCUCUAGCUCAAACUAUAAGUUGAGUUUGCUCCUCAGAAGACCUGUCUAGAAUUGCACUAACAAGCUGCUCUUCAGAAUUCAGGGUGGGAUGUUUCUCUCAUUCUUGCAUCCAACCUGUUAGCCCAUAGCAACAACAGCAGUGCAAUCAGAUGCUGGGAUAACCAACAGAGUUCGGUUGUUAUUACUGAUCAUCUGAGACUGGUCCCUCAGCUAAACGCUUGUCCAAAGGUGACAGAGUCCCACCACCCAUGUUCCUCCUACAAGACCAUCAGUCUUUUAGAUCACCAGACUGAAGCCACCUGUAUAGUCCUUAAGAGCAGUUUGUUUGAAGCACAGAGCCCCAAAGCUAAUGUGGCAGCUGGAUUCUCAGGGUCUUGUCAUUUAGCCUCUCGACUCAGAGGUAAAGAGUUCUUAUUGGAGGUGUGGCACAGGUAACAGACGUCCCAUUUUCCGGGGACAAUCCCCCGGUUUACAAAUCAGCACCCUGACAAAAUCCAUCUAUUUAGUAGGAAAUUGAAGAGUAUUUCUGGAUUCAUUGAAAAAAAUCUGGUAACCGGAGUGGGCGGGGGAGAGAGAUAAAUUGGUUUAUCGGGCCUUUAUUUUUUGCAUGGCUGACCCAUCUUUUACACAUAACUAUUCUCCACUGAAUAUUCAGAGGAUGAGUUAUCCCUCUAGCUGUGCUCCAUGACAGCCACAUCUUUAUUUUUGUAUGUGAUAUUGCCCAAUACACACAUUUCCCUAGUUUAAUACAUUUCACAAAUAAAUGGGUUUUUUUAUGAGCACUUUACUCUCUCUCCCUCUACAUUCUAGGGAUCUGCAUAUUUGCCUCCUUCAAAGAGGCCACAGCAAAUCGCAAGCAAAAAGCAUCAGCAAAAGGUCCUCUCCCCAGUUACAAACCUUGGACAGCUGCUGCCAGCCAAUAUAAGUAAUACUAAGCUAGAUGGACUUACUAGGCAAUUUUCCUAGGACCCUAAAAGAACUAGGAGGCUUCCUAUAUUCAAAAAAGAACCUGCUUAAGUGAGGAAAGUACGGCAUGAAUGAAAGGUGGAAGAGCAAUUCAGUAAAAGGCAAUAUUUGGGGAGAUGCUCCACCCCCCAACCAUUGCUUGGAGUCAUUCCUGCAACUGAGUCUCCUUUUCUCCUCUUUGCUUCUUAAAUGCAGGACCAGACACAACAGAACGCCCUCUAGGCAAAUCACCCCACCACCCUCCUUCUGUUUAAAUAGCAUUGUCCAGUGUGGCUCCAUUGCCUGGCUGAGUCCCAUUCGCUCCUUACUAAAUUUAAAGUAGAGACAGAGAGAGAGAGAGAGAGAGAGAGAGAGAGAGAGAGGAAGGAAGGAAGGGAGGGAGGGAGGGAGGGAGGGGAGAUGAGUUUCAUUUUGCUUUUCCUCAUUGUCCUAAGCAUCUCCCCUGGUGAGGAUUUAUUCUUUGGAAUAAAAACAAAAAUGUUGAACCCAACGCUGAGAGAUUCCCGAUUAUGACACAAUUUCUGCAUUCUUUUAUAGGCAUCCGCUCCACUCCACAGAUAAUCGAGUCUGGUCCAGGACUGGUGAAACCUGGGGAGUCCUUCAAACUGACCUGCAGAGUUUCUGGGGUUCAGCUUGAUAAUUAUUUCUGGCACUGGAUCCGGCAGCCUCCAGGGAAAGGGCUGGAAUGGAUAGCAAUUAUUCACAACACUGCAAAUGGAGGAACCACUGAUAUCAAUUCAGCACUGAGAAGUCAAGCCAGCAUCUCCAAGGACAUCUCCAGAAAUGAAGUGUAUCUCCAGCUGAGCUCCCCAACAGCUGCAGACACAGCAGUGUAUUUUGCUGUGCAAGAAACACAGUGAACCAAAGCAAGGAAGCAUCCCUGCAAUAUCCACCCUCGGACUCAACCCCUUGCACAGGAACUGAUAGAUCCCUGUCGCCAACAGACAUCCAUUGAAUGAAUGCAGCUAAAUUUGUGCUGAAAAUCUGCACCCCCUUUGAGGGCAAAAUGGUGAGGGUAAUGUUCAGCCACAUACUUUCGGCAGCAGAAAUUCUGAGAAGUGUUGAGAGUACGCUGUGCUUGGAUUGGCUUACGUUGCUUUUUGUCUUUUAUGGAGUCAGCUCCCACUUUAAAUUUUAUUAAGUGAUUGCCUCUCACUUCUUAGGCACAAUUACAGUGUCACCUAUGCUUAUUAAACCACAUAAAAUAAAUUGCUUUUAUGACCUCUCAGACCAGCCCUCAGCUAUAUUCUCUCUGUCAAGCAGUUGGCAGCAGAGACAAUCCUUUCCAAAGCAAAUGACAAUCUCUCAAAUCGCCAGACUGACAACCACCUGCAAAGUCUCAUAAAAGAGGUUCUUGGAGGCAAGGAGCCUCAAAAAUACAAGUUCUCUGGCCUUACAUGUAAUGACUUCCACAUAAGGACUGCAGCUCUUUAUUGGAAGGGGUGCGAAAUGGAUCUGCACACUUGUCCCCUUCUAGAGGCCAACAUAGCCUAUAGCCCAUCACAAGCAAAGGGUAUCAAGAAACAGUUCCAUUGCUAAGGCUUGGUGGAUGUUUCAGCACAAUCUGGUCUGUGCUUUCCUCCAUUCCUCGAUGGGUGUCUUGUGUCAUUUUGCACUGUUCCAUCCUUUUCCACAUAGUACUAUAUUACAUACCCUUUCAAGUGUCCCAGGGCAUCACGGAAUAAUUGAAGCCAUCCCUACUUCUGAUGGUCCCAGAAUGUCACGUUUCCCUCCUCCAGCCCCACCGAGCUUAGGGAGAAGGGUGAGCCAGCACUUGUGCUUAUAGUGGUGUCAGACUCUCGUGCAAGCCAAGUAACUCGCACUGUAGCACCAUACCAAAAUACACACACCCCAAUUUUCAUCAGAGUAAUAUUGGAGGAUAUAUGAUAUGAUAUUUAUUUUGUAUGUUUACAUAGACAUCCACUCAAUGUGCUCAUCUCAACACAAGAAGUAGUGCUGACACCUAUUGGCUUCAAAUGGUCUCCGGCCUUUAUUAUGCGUGGCCUUUUUUACAUUAUGCAAAUUCUCUCACUGCCUCCCAAAUUCAAAUAACAGGCUUCUUGGUAAUUUAACUUCACUGCAGCUGAGGAGAAAGGCAGCCUCCAUUCCAGCAUUAUUGUUUUUCAUUCCUAUUAUUACUUUUCUCCUCUCAGGAUAAAAUAAAUUAAUAAUGAUGCUGCUCUUGGUCCCCCUCUUCCUCUUGGUCCUGCUCCCAGGUAAGUAUCUCCUAAAACAUUCUCCAACCCCUCCACAUUCAAAUGAACUAUCCUGAAUAUUAGAUAAGAUACUUAAUGGUAUAACAAUUCCCAUGACCCAUGUGUUUUGGAUUAAACGAGCAAUGAUAAAACUGUGCAAGAAAUAGCCUUAAAGUUCUGGCUGGGCCAACUGCUUAACUCUGGUUUUCCUUUUCUUUCCCUCCCCCCCCCCAAAUCCCUUCAGGUGUUUUCUCACAGGUCACAUUGAAGGAAUCUGGACAAGGAACAGUGAGACCAGGAGAGACCCUCGAACUGACCUGUACAGUCACUGGGCGCUCUGUGACAAACAGCUAUUGGUGGAACUGGGUACGACAGAGCUCUGGGAAAGGGCUUGAAUGGAUGGGAGCAUGGAGUGGGAGCACAUACUAUGCAGCAUCUCUCAGCGGCCGAAUCACCAUCUCUGUGGAUUCUUCCCGAACCAAGUACUUUCUGAGGCUGAGCUCUGUGACAGCUGAAGACACAGCCAUGUAUUACUGUUCAACAGGCACAGUGGGACAAAUUGAAGCAGAGGCUUGUACAAAAAGGAGGAAGUGGUUAGAAAAUAGAAAGCGAUGUACUAUAGAUCCUCGGUUCUGCUUAAAAGAAACCACAUCAUUUUGAAAUCACUGAAGCUGAGCCCCUUUCUCUCCACUCUCCACAUCCCAAGUUGACACAAACUGCGGCAAUGAAGGAGAAUUGCAUUAAGAAAAGAGAAGCAGGAUAAAGGGGGAGGUUCUCAUGCUGUAGAACUCCAUGCAUUCAACCACAAAAUCAGCCGCUAAGAUCAUGGAGACGCUAAGCUCCACGAUAGCCAUUGAUGAGUGCAUGAGACACAACUCAAGGCUUGGGGGGGGGCUUCCUUUUUAGACAGUGACAACAGCCUGCAGCACAAACUGCAAACCCCGUGAAAGUGGGGAAAAGAGUGAUUAAGCGAGACCAUUUUCAUUCAGUCCAGAAACCCAGUAAGCGUCGAUUGUUUGAUUCAGAAAUAUCUACUUGAUGGAGCAAAGGGCUGCGGCUGACUGGUAGAGCUUAGUGCACAGAAAGUCCCACAUUCAAUCCCUGGGAGAGAUUGCAGUUUGCAACCCUGGAGAGCUCCUGCCAGUCAGUGUAGACAACACUGAACUAGAUAGUGUUCUUACUAGGCAUACAGAGGUUUCCUAUGCUCCUAAAAGAAUGUCCGUAGGUAGGAUAAAUACAGUGCACCAUGAAUGAAAGCUGGAAGAGCAAUUAAGAUAGAAGACAAUAUUUGGGGGGGGGGGUCCUCUCCUUGGAGAGAAAUCUUGGAGAGCUGCCUGCCAGUCAGUGGAAGCGAUGGCAGAUGGACUUACUAGGCAAUUUUCUGAUCCUCCUAAAAGAACUCGUAGGUGGCUUCCUAUAUUCAUAAAAGAAUUUGCUUAAGUGAGGAACGUCUGCCAUGAAUGAAUGGCGGAAGAGCAAUUCGGUAAAAGGCAAAAUUUGGGGGAGCCCCUACCCACCCACCCAAUCCAUCGCUUGGAGACAUUCUUGCAACUGAGUCUCCUUUGCUCCUCUUUGCUUCUUAAAUGCAGGACCAGACACGACAGAACGCCUUCUAGGCAAAUCACCCCACCAGCCUCCUUCUGUUUAAAUAGGAUUGCCCAGUGUGACACCCUGGCCUGGCUGAGUCCCAUUCACUCCUUACUAAAUUUAAAGUUGAGAGAGAGAGAGAGAGAGAGAGAGAGAGAGAGAGAGAGAGAGAGAGAGAGAGAGGAAGGAAGGAAGGAAGGAAGGAAGGAAGGAAGGAAGGAAGGAAGGAAGGAGAUAUGAGUUUCAUGUUGCUUUUCCUCAUUGUCCUAAGCAUCUCCCCUGGUGAGGAUUUAUUCUUUGGAAUAAAACAAAAAUGUUGAACCCAAUGGAAAAAGAUUCCCGAUUAUGACACAAUUUCUGCAUUCUUUUGUAGGUAUCUGCUCCACUCCACAGAUAGUUGAGACUGGUCCAGGACUGGUGAAACCUGGGGAGUCCUUCAAACUGACCUGCAGAGAUUCUGGGGUUCAAGUCAGUGAUUAUUACUGGAACUGGAUCCGGCAGCCUCUAGGGAAAGGGCUGGAAUGGAUAGCAUUCAUUCGCAACACUGCAAAUGGAGGAACCACUGAGAUCAAUUCAGCACUGAGAAGUCGAGUCAGCAUCUCCAGGGACAUCUCCAGAAAUGAAGUGUAUCUCCAACUGAGCUCCCCAUCAGCUGCAGACACAGCAGUGUAUUUUGCUGUGUGAGGCGAGAGACACAGUGAACCAAAGAAGGAAGCAUCCCUGCAAGAUCCACCCUCAGACUCAACCCCUUGCACAGGAACUGAUAGAUCCCUGUCACCAACAGACAUCCACUGAAUCCAGCUAAAUUUGUGCUGAAUAUCUGCACCCCCUUUGAGGGCAAAAUGCUUCAACCACUUUCUUUGGACAGCAGAAAUUCUGAGAAGCGUUGAGGGUACGAUGUGCUUGGAUUGGCUUAGGUGUCUUUUUGACUUUUAUGGAGUCAGCUCCCACUUUAAAUGUUAUUAAAAGUGAUUGCCUCUCACAUCUUAGGCUCAAUUAUGAUGACAGUGUCACCCAUGCUUAAAUAACCAUAUGAAAUAAAUCACUUUUAUGACCUCUCAGACCAGCCCUCAGCUAUAUUCUCCUUGUCUAGCAGGUGGCAGCAGAGACAACCCUUUCCAAAGCAAACAACAAUCUCUCAAAUCACCAGACUGACAACCACCUGCAAAGUCUCACAAAAGAGGUUCUUGGAGGCAAGGAGACUCAAAGCUACGAGCUCCCUGGCCUUACAUGUAAUGACUUUCACAUAAGGACUGCAGCUCUUUAUUCGAAGGGGGGGUGAAUCUGCACACUUGUCCCCGGGACAAGCAGCUACUGGUGGCACUGGAUACGACAGACCCCCCGGGAAAGAGCUCGAAUGGAUGGGAGGGUGGACUGCAAGCUCAUACUAUGCUCCAUCGCCAUCUCUGUGGAUUCUUCACAAACCAAGUCAUUUCUGAGACUGAGCUCUGUGACAACUACAGACACAGCCAUGCAUUACUGUACAACAGUCAGACACAUUGGGACAGAGUGAAGCAUUGGCCUGUACAAAAAGGAGGGUUAGAAAACAGUGACAUGAAAGUGAUAUACUAUGGAUACCUGGUUCUGCUUAAAAGAAAAGCACCUCAGUUUAAACACACCUAUGCCAUAUUCUAUUCUCCCCACCCUCCCUCUCCCAGGUGUUUCCUCCCAUCCCGGGUUAGCAGUCGGGGACAGAGAAAGAGAACUGCCUAAGAAAAGCGGGGAAAACAUUAACGGUGAUAUUCAUGUCCAUAGACUUCAAUGCUUCAAGUCACAUUGAGUUAAGCCCCUUUGAUGGGUGUGGGAGACCCAGCUCUAAAUCCCAGCUCACAUCUGAAGGAGACCCAGUAUCUGUGGAGCAUUGGAGAACAGAAAAAUGACAGUAAAUGGUCUUCAGUUAAAAUCUGUAAGCGGAAUGUUCAUCCAUAGAGGGUUGAAUAAAUGGCUUGUGUCCUCAAUGCUGGGGAUUAUAUGUUUUGCCAAGUUAAAAAUUCAUUUCGAAACUUCUCAUUGAGUUGAAUGCUGCAUUAAACUGGCUCAGUACUGGAAAUUGGUGAACAUUAUUUCUAUUCUUAAACAGGUUGUGAUUAAAGGGAGAGUAUUGACUUUGAGUUACCCAUUAUCUUCCUUUUCAACCAACCGACUGAUUGUACCAAGUGAUUCUGAGUUGCACUGUCAUCCUUAUUUAUAUUCAACUGCGUUUUAAUCUCGAAGUCACAGAUACAUCCAAAAAAGUCACGCAGCUUUGUAACCGUGAACAAGACAAAGCACAGCAAAACCACCUUUAAAAUUUGGAUCAUGCCAAAGGUCCAUCUAGCAGCGGCGUAGCGUGGGUUGUCAGCACCCGGGGCAAGGCAAGUAAUUUGCUCCCCCUAACCCAGGGCAAGGCAAGUAAUUUGCGCCCCCUAACCCCUAACCUGCCGCCGCUGCCAGCUUCUUCUUGCUGCUGCCUGGGCUGGUCUGGUGUGGUUCUCUCCCGCGCUCAGCGCUGCGCUGGGCGGCCGCUGCACUGUUCCUCCCCCAGAUAGUCCCUCGCUCUCUCUCCGCACCGCACGCCUGGCACCCACCCCUCCACAGUGGGCGGCGACCCAGCGGCUCGGAUCGGAUUCGCACAGCCAGCACUGCAGUGAGAGAGAGUGAGUGAGCCAGGUAGGGGCAGAGAGCUGCGAGUGCGAGCGCGCCCCCCCAGAUGUUGCGCCCGGUGCGGCCGGCCCCCCCUGCACCCCCCACGCUACGCCACUGCCAUCUAGUUCAGCCUCUGACAGUGGCAAGCCAGAUGCCCUAAUGGGAAGCCUGAAAGAACAACCCAAGUGCAAGGUCACUCGCCCCGCCUUGAAAUCCGAUGUGAGCCAAACGAUUUGAGGAGAAGAAAAGCCUUUGAUGGUUUGUGGGGGGUUGAGCUUACUGCAGCUGCAGUGGAAAGGGCUGGCAUACUGCCAUUUUUAUUGUAAUUAUCAGUAUGUUUUAAACAGAUUUCAUAUACAGGCAAUCUCCCAUUUACAUGGGGGUUACGUUCCAAGGCAUCACAUGCAUCAGUGAAAUUGUGUAUCCUUGAAACACCAUUGAAAAAGCACCAUUGCAAACACCCCAUUCCACCCCCGUCCUGCCCCAUUCCGCCACUUUUUGUGGCAUUUUCAGGUCACUUCUGCGUUCAGCUUGAUGCACAUGUGCAUGGUAGCACACAUGUUGAAUGUGUGCAAGGGGGCGCAUGUUGCCUGUAUGUACAUAGUUUAAAUCAGGCAUCCCCAAACUCGGCCUGCCAGCUGUUUUGGGACUACAAUUCCCAUCAUCCCUGAUCACUGGUCCUGUUAGCUAGGGAUGAUGGGAGUUGUAGUCCCAAAACAGCUGGAGAGCCGAGUUUGGGGGUGCCUGGUUUAAAUUGUAUCAAUGUUCAAUUGUAUUUUAAGGUUUGAUUUCUUGAUGUAUUUAGUGGUUCUUGUUUGUAAGCUGCCUUGAGUAUAUAUCAUAAUAAUGAAAAUAAUAAUGACAACAACUGCUAUAGAGCCCUGCAGUGGGAAGAACCUCACUAUUCUUACCUUGUUGCAGCAGCCAUCCUGUCUGCCCACCCGCAAAUGUACUGGAAUGAUACUGCCUUAAGGGCACAGGAGGGUGAAUGGCAUCAAUAGGAGCUCUGUCACACAAGCCAGCAAUGAAAUACUGGGAUAGAAGGACAUUGGUCUUACAAGGUAUAAGGCUGCUUCCUAUGCUCCUAAAAAGAACAUCAUUAGGGGUGCAAGGUACUGUGAAUGAAAGCUGCAAUUAGGGUAGAAGGCAAAAACUGGGGAGUGUCUUCCCCAGCCCCACGACACCUUGACUGGAGUCAUUCCCAUAAGCAGGUCUCAUCUCAUCCGCUCUGCUUCUUAAGUGCAGGACCAGAUGCGACUGAACAUCCUCUAUGCAAAUCACCUGACCAGGCCCUUCGUGCUUAAAUAGCACCAUCCAGCAUUGCUCCGUGACCUGGCUGAGUCCCUUUUUGUUUUGUACAAAGAAAGAAAGAAAGAAAGAAAGAAAGAAAGAAAGAAAGAAAGAAAGAAAGAAAGAAAGAAAGAUGAGUUUCCCAUUGCUUUUUUUCAUCCUCCUGAGCUGCUCUCCUGGUGAGGAUUUAUCCUUUGUAUAAAACCAAAAUGUUGAGUAGAACACAAAGAGGUUCCCGAUUAUGACACAACUUCUACAUUCUUUUGUAGGUACGUAUUCCACUCUACAGAUAAUUGAGUCUGGUCCAGGACUGGUGAAGCCCGGAGACUCCUUCAAGCUGACCUGUGCAGUUUCUGGGGUUCAAGUUGGUGAUUAUUAUUGGAGUUGGAUCCGGCAGCCUCCAGGGAAGGGUCUGAAAUGGAUGGGGGAUAUUGAGGACACGGAAGAUGGUGCUGGAACUACAUACAGCCCAACAUUUGGAAGUCGAAUCAGCAUCACCAGGGACACCUCCAAAAAUGAAGUAUAUCUUCAGUUGAGGUCCCUGGAAACUGCAGACACAGCAGUAUACUACUGUGCGCGGCACAGUGAGCCAGAGCAAUCAAGCAUCUGUACAAAAACCACAAUCAGUCUCAACCACCUGC